Molecule: unclassified non-coding RNA, 240 nt
Filed under: soil metagenome
Description: partial contains 5.8S ribosomal RNA, internal transcribed spacer 2, and large subunit ribosomal RNA
Source: RNAcentral
AACCUAGCACACCUGCGGUGUGUACCUGCGGAGGGAUCAUUACCGAGUUUACAAACUCCCAACCCUCUGUGAACCUUACCAUAUUGUUGCUUCGGCGGGACCGCCCCGGCGCCUUCGGGCCCGGAACCAGGCGCCCGCCGGAGGCCCCAAACUCUUAUGUCUUUAGUGGUUUUCUCCUCUGAGUGACACAUAAACAAAUAAAUAAAAACUUUCAACAACGGAUCUCAGAUCGGAAGAGCA